RNAcentral lists this ribosomal RNA (489 nucleotides) under uncultured bacterium. RNAcentral describes it as "bacterial SSU rRNA". It matches the Rfam family "Bacterial small subunit ribosomal RNA", at positions 30 to 517 of the family's 1533-position model. The record is from RNAcentral.
AUUGAACGCUGGCGGCAUGCCUUACACAUGCAAGUCGAACGGCAGCGGGCCUUCGGGUGCCGGCGAGUGGCGAACGGGUGAGUAAUGCAUCGGAACGUGCCAUUGAGUGGGGGAUAACGUAGCGAAAGUUGCGCUAAUACCGCAUAUUCUGUGAGCAGGAAAGCAGGGGACCGCAAGGCCUUGCGCUCUUUGAGCGGCCGAUGUCAGAUUAGCUAGUUGGUGAGGUAAAGGCUUACCAAGGCGACGAUCUGUAGCGGGUCUGAGAGGAUGAUCCGCCACACUGGUACUGAGACACGGACCAGACUCCUACGGGAGGCAGCAGUGAGGAAUAUUGGUCAAUGGGCGGAAGCCUGAACCAGCCAUGUCGCGUGAAGGAAGAAGGUCUUACGGAUUGUAAACUUCUUUAGCAGGGGAAUAAAAGACGAUACGAGUUAUCGUGUUGAAAGUACUUUGACGAAAAAGGAUCGGCUAACUCCGUGCCAGCAGCCC